GACGAACGCUGGUGGCGUGCUUAACACAUGCAAGUCGAACGGAAAGGCCCUGCUUUUGUGGGGUGCUCGAGUGGCGAACGGGUGAGUAACACGUGAGUAACCUGCCCUUGACUUUGGGAUAACUUCAGGAAACUGGGGCUAAUACCGGAUAGGAGCUCCUGCUGCAUGGUGGGGGUUGGAAAGUUUCGGCGGUUGGGGAUGGACUCGCGGCUUAUCAGCUUGUUGGUGGGGUAGUGGCUUACCAAGGCUUUGACGGGUAGCCGGCCUGAAAGGGUGACCGGCCACAUUGGGACUGAGAUACGGCCCAGACUCCUACGGGAGGCAGCAGUGGGGAAUAUUGCACAAUGGGCGGAAGCCUGAUGCAGCAACGCCGCGUGCGGGAUGACGGCCUUCGGGUUGUAAACCGCUUUCGCCUGUGACGAAGCGUGAGUGACGGUAAUGGGUAAAGAAGCACCGGCUAACUACGUG
Molecule: ribosomal RNA, 468 nt
Filed under: uncultured bacterium
Lineage: Bacteria
Description: partial 16S ribosomal RNA
Rfam family: Bacterial small subunit ribosomal RNA
Source: RNAcentral